Molecule: long non-coding RNA, 253 nt
Filed under: Homo sapiens (human)
Lineage: Eukaryota; Metazoa; Chordata; Mammalia; Primates; Hominidae
Description: HSALNT0167644
Source: RNAcentral
AAAGGCUGAAUAAAAUAUAUCAACAACGGAAGGGAAGAAAGGGGGUCUCCAGGUGUGAGAUAGGUCAAGGGAACUCAAAAGCAUGACAUGAAUAUAAGCCCAAAUGACUAAGGACCAGGGGGUCUCCUAUGGGGCAGCACCAUAGAUGUAUUAAAGAAAAGACUGGUCCUCCCAGUCUGGUGGGGAGACAUAGAAGUGAACACACAAUGAUAAUGCAGUGAAUUGACAGAAGAUGCUCAGUCUUUCCAGCAGC